UAUGUAGGCGGCGCUGUUAGUCGGGUGUGAAAUCCCUCGGCUCAACCGAGGAAUUGCGCCCGAUACUGCAGUGCUUGAGGGAGACAGAGGUAAGCGGAACUGAUGGUGGAGCGGUGAAAUGCGUUGAUAUCAUCAGGAACACCGGUGGCGAAAGCGGCUUACUGGGUCUCUUCUGACGCUGAGAUACGAAAGCUAGGGGAGCGAAGGGGAUUAGAUACCCCCGUAGUCCUAGCUGUAAACGUUGAGCACUUGAUCGGGGAUCCCCCCAUAGGUUCUCGGUCGUAGCGAAAGUGUUAAGUGCUCCGCCUGGGGAGUAUGGUCGCAAGGCUGAA
RNAcentral lists this ribosomal RNA (332 nucleotides) under uncultured Planctomycetota bacterium. RNAcentral describes it as "bacterial SSU rRNA". It matches the Rfam family "Bacterial small subunit ribosomal RNA", at positions 568 to 898 of the family's 1533-position model. Lineage: Bacteria; Pseudomonadati; Planctomycetota. The record is from RNAcentral.